This 4315-nucleotide long non-coding RNA is filed under the name Nicotiana tabacum (common tobacco). RNAcentral describes it as "long non-coding RNA (NTAB_LNC011463)". The record is from RNAcentral. Lineage: Eukaryota; Viridiplantae; Streptophyta; Magnoliopsida; Solanales; Solanaceae.
AUCCCAUCCCCCAUUGAAGAUCCUUAACAGUAAAGUCAAGGUUAUGCAUCAUCAAAUUUAGGAAACUAAGAAUGAAGGAAUCCGUAAUCUUCCCACGUAGCCUCUUCAGGAGAAAGAUUAGCCCACUGUACCAGAACUUCUGUCACUGCCUUGUUCCUUUUCUUAACCUCCGAUCCAAAAUCGCCACCAGUUCCACGGGAAUUUGGCCCUCGUUAUUGCAAAUUGGAGGAUCAAUCAUAGCUACCACUUGAUUACCCACUUUCUUCUUCAAUUGCGAAACAUGAAACACCGGGUGAAUUUUUGAUCCGGGUGGCAACUUCAAUUUAUAUGCUAUUUGGCCAAUUUUUUCCAAAAUCUGAUAAGACCCGUAGUACUUUGAUGCUAACUUCAGAUUUUUCCGUCUUGCUACCGACGCCAGUCGAUAUAGUUGCAGUUUGAGGUAUACCCAUUCUCCUUCCUCAAAAGCCCUCUCAGUUCUUUUAGAAUAUACAUAAAGUUUCAUCCUUUCUUGUGCUUUCUUCAGAUUUUCCUGCAACACUCGACCAAUCACUUGUCUUUCUUUUAACACUUCAUCCACUGAAUUCACCCGAGACUAAGCAAUAAGUUCAAAUGUUGGCAGGGGAGGAUCAUAGCGAUAAAGUGCCUUAAUAGCUGAGUGGUAAGUCGAGUUGUACCAGAAUUCCGCUAAGCUCAACCAUUUGCUCCAAUUCACAGGUUUAUGAACUGUCAUACAACGAAGGUAACAUUCCAAGCAUCUAUUCAACCUUGUUGUUUGACCAUCCGUCUGUGGAUGAUAUGUUGUACUCUGCCUUAGUUUCACUCCCAUUCCCUUAAACAAUUCCUUUCAAAACAAACAUGUAAAUGCCGGAUCUCUAUCAUAAACAAUUGAAACUGUACUUCCAUGUAACUUGUAAAUGAGAUCCAAGAAAACUUGUGCUACUUGUGGUGCUGUAUAUGGGUGGGAUAAUGCUAAAAAUGAGCAUACUUAGUAAAGCGAUCCACAACUAUAAAGAUUACCUCUUUACCAUUUAACUUAGGCAGUCCUUCAACGAAAUUCAUCGUAAUAUGAUCCCACGCCCUUGAAGGAAUUGGUAAGGGCUGAAGAAGCCCUGGAUAAGCCACAUUUUCUCCUUUGUUUCUCUAACAUAUAUCACAUUCAGAGACUAGCCUUUUAACAUCCUCAUUGAUUUUGGGCGAGUAGAAUAAAGACUUGAGUCUUUGCUGAGGAGCAUGGACACCUGAAUGUCCUCCCCAAGUAGUUAUGUGCAUAACUUCUACCAAUUGACACAUCGGUUUCCCACUGCUGCCAAUCCAUAUUUGGCCUUUGUGCUUUAAAAGGCCUUGUUGUAGGGUCACAUUUGGUACUGCAUUAGCAUCCGGUAGUAGUUGAGACAACACUUUAUCCAUUUCAAUGCCCUUUUCGUAGCUGCUUAAAACUUCUUGCAUCCAUGUUGGUUGCACUACUAAUAUUACCUUGCAUUUAGCCUCUUCUUCAAAUAGUCGAGAUAGAGCAUCUGCAGUCACAUUUUCUACCCCCUUUUUAUACUAUAUCUCGUAACUAAGACCCAACAACUUAGUUAGGCCUUUGUGUUGUAAGUAGGUAGUCAUUCUUUGGUCCUUUAAGAACUUUAAACUGAAAUGAUUAGUUUUGAUAAUGAAGUGGGCCGACUGCAAGUAGUGCCUCUAUUUUUCAAUAGCCAACAACAAUGCAAUCAGCUCCUUUUCAUAAGUGGAGAGCCCAAGAUGAUUUGGGCACAAGGCUUGACUAAGAAAGGCCAAGGGCCUACCUUCUUGCAUUAACACUACCCUAACUCUUGAUCCACAUGCAUCGGCCUCCACUAUAAAAGACUUGGAAAAGUCGGGUAGUGCCAAAAUAGGGGCCUGGAUCAUAGCUUGUUUCAAAAUUUCAAAUACUUGUGUUUCUUCAUUUGUCCAUAGAAAGGCUCCCCUUUUCAGCAGGUUGAUAAGAGGAUGACUAAUCAAAGCAAAAUGCUUGAUAAACCUUCUAUAAUAACCAGUCAGUCCCAAAAAACCUCUAAGAGCUUUUACACUGUUGGGCCUGGACCAAUUAAGCAUGGCUUCUAUUUUUGAGUCAUCAGUGUUGACCCCUUCACCCGAGAUAAUAUGUCCUAAAUACUCAAUUUGGGCCUGACCAAAAAUGCACUUGGAGCGUUUUUCAAAUACUUGAUUAGCCCGUAAUAGCUCAAAAACAUCUUAAGAUGGGCCAUAUGGUCAGUCAAAUUGGAACUAUAGACCAAUAUAUCAUCAAAGAAAACCAAGAUGAAUUUUCUAAGAUAAGGCCCAAAAUUUUUAUGCAUAAGUGCCUGAAAUGUUGCUGGGGCAUUAGUGAGCUCGAAGGGCAUAACACGAAACUGCCAAAAUCCAUGGUGGGUGUGAAAAGCAGUCUUGAACUCAUCCCCUACUUUCAUGCGAAUCUGAUAAUAGCCUGAUCAUAAAUCCAAUUUAGAAUAAAAAUAUGCUCCAUCCAAUUCAUCCAGUAUAUUUUCAACAACUGGAAUUGGAUAUUUAUUUUUCAUUAUAAUGUCAUUCGAUUUUCUGUAAUCCACACACAUCCGCCAAAAAGCAUCUUUCUUUUUCACCAAUAUAACUGGUGAAGCAAAGGGGUAUGAACUGGGAACUACAGUGCUAGUUUGUAGCAUCUCUUGAACAAAUUUCUCAAUGACAUUUUUCUGCUCAUAAGAGUAGCGAUAUGGCCUUUGAUUUACUGCUUUAGCACCAGGAAUUAGUUCAAUAGUGUAAUCACAGUCACGACUAGGAGGCAACCCUUUAGGCUCACUAAAUAAAUCCAUGUAACUGGAUAAUAUCUAUUCAAGCUAGGUUGGAAUGUCCACUGUAAUGAUUGUACCCUCUGAUGCAUUCAGUUGGGCCUGAGCCACAAAGCUACAAUAAUUUCCUUGUAACAAUUUCAUCAUUGCCUUGGCAUUGGUGGAUGAUAUCUGAGUAGCCUCUUAACUCCCAAACAAGGUCACCACACUAUCUCCCAUCAUGAAUGAAAUACUACGAGGAUUGAUAUUUAACAACACUGGAGCAACCGAAUCUAUCCAAUCCAUUCCCUAGAUUAUGUCGCAACCAGGGACCUUUAGCCAAUGCAAAUUAAAAGUAAAUGGAAUAUCAUUCAUCUCCCAAACAAAGCUAGGAUUUAAAUAAGUAUAAACCAUUUCAUACCUACUGGCUACAUUAACAUGCAUAGCCCUCUUCAUAGGUUCUCCCAGUAAGCCCAAUUUCUUUGGUACAUUUGGAUCAAUGAAACUGUGAGUUGAUCCACAAUCUAUUAAAAUGACAAGUGGAAUUCUUUUGACCCGACCCAAAAUUUUAAUUGUAGAUGGUGAAGAAUCCAAAGAGUUUAAGCCCAUUAAGAUAUUCAAAGAAACUUCAGCUGUUACUUCUGCACCCUCUUCCACUACUGGACUUUCCUCUUGGGCCUCGUCAACAACUUGAGCUGCACCUGAAUUUUCUCCUUUUUCAUACUCACCGGUCAUCAGUUUUAAUGACUUGGGCUUGCAUUGAUGCCCUGGGUAAUAUCGUUCAUGACAUUUAAAACAAAUAUUAUGUUGUCUCAAUACAUCUAAUGACAUAUUCUUGGGAACAGUCUGCUUUGUAGGCCCAUUGGUCAAUAGUUUCUGAGUUGUAGGAUUGGGAAAGGUUAGUAUGGUUUUAGCAUUUGAUGGUACUGAGUUGGGAGAAUUUAGAGUGAAUCUGGGAUAGGUAACUAUGUAUCUAGGCUGAAGGUUUUUAUAGAUAGCAGAUAAGGUCUCUUCAUGCAAUUUUGCAACCUCCAAAGCAUCCAUUAAUGUUAGAGGGUUAGAAGCUCUCACCAUUGAUUUUAAAUCAGCUUUAAGACCACCCACAAAACAUGAAACAAAAUAGGGUUAAUUAAGAGUUGUAUUUACUAAUAACAAGUAAUACCGCAACUCUUCAAUCUUCACCUGAUAGCUAUCCACGUCACCCUUUUGCUCUAAUCAAUUAAAUUCCACUACCACAUCCAUUGGUCUAAUGUUACUAUACCUCCGACACACAUCUAAGCAGAACAACUCUCACGAAACAUUUCCACCAUGAUCCAUCAUAUAAGCAUCAAACCAUGUAUCAAGUUUAUCCUUAACAUGCAUUGCAACAUACUGCAUUUUAAGGUCAGAAGGAACCUGGUAUAGUUCAAAAAAUUUGUCAAACCUUCUAAUCCAUCCCCGUGAGUUGUUGGUGUCAAAUUCUGGAAAGGUUAACUUGGCUUUUGGAAAAUUAACCAGAUUGUGUGUGUUUGCAGGUGUUUGAAUGAGAGUUGGACCCAAAGCAGGCAUUU